AUACAGAGGGUGCGAGCGUUAAUCGGAAUUACUGGGCGUAAAGCGCGCGUAGGCGGCUUAUUAAGUCAGAUGUGAAAUCCCAGGGCUCAACCUUGGAACUGCAUCUGAUACUGGUAAGCUAGAGUUUAGGAGAGGGAAGUAGAAUUUCAGGUGUAGCGGUGAAAUGCAUAGAGAUCUGAAGGAAUACCAGUGGCGAAGGCGACUUCCUGGCCUAAAACUGACGCUGAGGUGCGAAAGCGUGGGUAGCAAACGGGAUUAGAAACCCUAGUAGUCC
Molecule: ribosomal RNA, 274 nt
Filed under: uncultured bacterium
Lineage: Bacteria
Description: partial 16S ribosomal RNA
Rfam family: Bacterial small subunit ribosomal RNA
Source: RNAcentral